This 1875-nucleotide ribosomal RNA is filed under the name human gut metagenome. RNAcentral's name for it is "bacterial LSU rRNA". It matches the Rfam family "Bacterial large subunit ribosomal RNA", at positions 3 to 1977 of the family's 2925-position model. The record is from RNAcentral.
UCAAGCUAAGAAGAGCGCAGGGCGAAUGCCUUGGCACUGGGAGCCGACGAAGGACGCGAUAAGCUGCGAUAAGCUGCGGGGAGGAGCAAAUAUCCAUUGAUCCGCAGAUUUCCGAAUGGAGAAAUCCGUAUGGAGAAGUCCAUACAUCAUAUACUGAAUUCAUAGGUAUAUGAGGGAAACCGCCUGAACUGAAACAUCUAAGUAGGGCGAGGAAAAGAAAUCAACCGAGAUUCCGCAAGUAGUGGCGAGCGAACGCGGAAGAGGCCAAACCGAGAGUAGUAAUACUUUCGGGGUUCGGACAGCGGACGGUAUGCUGAAGGUUAGCAGAAGGACAUGGGACGGUCCACCAAAGAGAGUGAGAGUCUCGUAUGCGAAAACUGAAAGCAGCCAGCUGAAUCCAGAGUACCGCCGGACACGUGAAACCCGGUGGGAAUAUGGGGGGACCAUCCUCCAAGCCUAAAUACUACCCAGUGACCGAUAGCGUAUAGUACUGUGAAGGAAAGGUGAAAAGAACCCCGGGAGGGGAGUGAAAAGAACCUGAAACCUUGUGCUUACAAGCACACAAAGCACGUCAACGUGUGAUGUGGUACCUUUUGUAGAAUGGUCCGGCGAGUGAAUGUAACUGGCGAGGUUAAGUUCUUAAGGAACGGAGCCGAAGCGAAAGCAAGUCUGAAUAGGGCGUCUUAGUCAGUUGUAUUCGACCCGAAACCGGGUGACCUAUCCAUGUCCAGGAUGAAGUUAAGGUAAAACUUGAUGGAGGUCCGAACCCACGGUCGUUGAAAUGCCCGGGGAUGAGAUGUGGAUAGCGGAGAAAUUCCAAUCGAACCCGGAUAUAGCUGGUUCUCUCCGAAAUAGCUUUAGGGCUAGCCUCGACUGAACAUUACCGGAGGUAGAGCACUGAAUGGGCUAGGGGCCGAGAGGUUACUGAACCCUAUCAAACUUCAAAUGCCGGAAAAUGAUAGUCGGGAGUCAGACUGCGUGAGAUAAGUUUCGUAGUCGAAAGGGAAACAGCCCAGACCCACAGCUAAGGUCCCAAAGUACGGUUAAGUGGAAAAGGAUGUGGAGUUGCACAGACAACCAGGAUGUUGGCUUAGAAGCAGCCACUCAUUAAAAGAGUGCGUAAUAGCUCACUGGUCGAGUGACUCUGCGCCGAAAAUUUAACGGGGCUAAAUCGUACACCGAAGCUUGGGAUGUAUCUAUGAUACAUGGUAGGAGAGCGUUGAAUGCGGGGUGAAGUCAGAGCGAAAGCGCUGGUGGACUGCAUUGAAGUGAGAAUGCCGGAAUGAGUAGCGAGAUUUAUGUGAGAAUCAUAAAGGCCGAAAGACUAAGGUUUCAGAAGGAAGGUUCGUCCGCUUCUGGUUAGCCGGGAGCUAAGGUGAGGCCGAAAGGCGUAGCCGAUGCACAUACGGUGGAGAUUCCGUAGCCGUCGAAAUAUUUAAGCAAAGGGACACUUAUGAAGGACAUGACCCGGGCGAUGGUAGCCCCGGGCGUAAGGGACUGAAAACAAGUAAGGAAGCAUGUUUGGAUUAAGGCGAGAAAAGCUUUGUGUAUAUAUGAGACGUCCGUACCGCAAACCGACACAGGUAGUCAGGAAGAGGAUUCUAAGGCCAACGGGAGAAGGGUAGUUAAGGAACUCGGCAAAUUGACCCCGUAACUUCGGGAUAAGGGGCGGUGCGUAAGCACCCGCAGUGAAUAGGUCCAGGCGACUGUUUAUCAAAAACACAGCUCUCUGCUAAAUCGAAAGAUGACGUAUAGGGGGUGACACCUGCCCGGUGCUGGAAGGUUAAGAGGAGGAGUGCAAGCUCCGAAUUGAAGCCCCAGUAAACGGCGGCCGUAACUAUAACGGUCCUAAGGUAGCGAAAUUCCUUGUCGGGU